This 113-nucleotide ribosomal RNA is filed under the name Capra hircus (goat). The record is from RNAcentral. Lineage: Eukaryota; Metazoa; Chordata; Mammalia; Artiodactyla; Bovidae.
GUCUAUGGCCAUACCAUCCAAAAGGUGCCUGAUUGUGUCUGAUCUCAGAAGUUAAGCAGGGUCAGGCCUGGUUAGUACUUAGAUGGGGGGAAGUGCGCUGGGAAUGAAUGAAA